This is a long non-coding RNA of Silurus meridionalis, 1593 nucleotides long. RefSeq lists it as uncharacterized. NCBI's taxonomy places the organism in Eukaryota, Metazoa, Chordata, Actinopteri, Siluriformes, Siluridae. The transcript has 5 exons. The record is from RefSeq and is a predicted model, not a curated record.
CUUCACUUUACUUCGUUACCGAGAAUAAAACCUGGGCUGAAGCACAGAGAUACUGCAGAUAGAAUAAUUUUGAUUUAAUUACUAUUAAAACUGGCUCUUCCUAAAAAAGUAGACAUUGGGAGCGGUGGGCAAACCUGGAUUGGACUGUAUGAUGAUCUGAACAGUUGGAAAUGGAUGAUGAUUCUUUCUACAAGGAGGGAGAGAGAAGCUUUAGAAACUGGUAUAUAGAAAAACCAAGGAACUGCUAAUGAUGCAGUGUACAAAAACCCGUCUUCCAACAUAUUUUCAAGCCCUUAACACGUGUCAUCAGCAUCACAAUUGUUAUUUACCCUGGAUGAACUCAAGUCAGAUAUUAAAAACAGAAAGAGACAGAAAGAGACAUCCAUGAAAUAAGUAACUUACAAAGUUUAUCAAUCUUUCCAUAUAUUGGAGCAGAGCCAUGUUUCAACUUCUGCUGCUCUUUGGGGUUUUCAACAUUGGCAUCUGUCUGCCUCGUCAGUAUCACUUCAUUACCGAGAAUAAGACCUGGAGUGAAGCACAGAGAUACUGCAGAGAGAAUUAUGUUGAUUUAGUUACAAUUAAUAAUGCUGAAGAGGAACUGGCUCUUACUAAAUUAGUAGACAACUGGAGCAGUGGCCAAACCUGGAUUGGACUGUAUGAUGAUCUGAACAGCUGGAAAUGGUCUCUGGAUGAUGAUUCUUUCUACAAGAAGGGAGAGAGAAGCUUUAGAAACUGGUAUAUACAAAAACCGAGGAACUCAAAUGGAAACAGUAUGUGUGUAUACUUUUAUGGUUAUGAUUCAGCAUGGCAGGAGGCCUCUUGUUCAUCAACACAAUUUUUCAUUUGCUUUGAUGGUGAGUACAGCAAUUAUGUUUAUUCUAAAAGAAAAUGUAUUCAAGUUUAACAUAUUUUAAACAUUUACAUAUUAAACUGUCUGUUUUAGGUAGGGCGAAUGCGAAUGAGAGUUAUGUGGUGAUUUAUCAGUACAAGACCUGGACAGAAGCUCAGACAUACUGCAGAGAGCAUUACACAGACCUGAUCAGUGUGAGGAACGAGUCUGAAAACAAUAAGAUCAGAUCAUUAUUGUAUUCUCAUAAUAAUUAUUAUAGUGGUUUUUGGAUCGGCCUGUACAGAACCAGGUCUUGGUCAGAUAAAAGCAACUCUUCCUUCAACUACUGGAAACCUGGACAACCAGAUAAUUAUGCACAGAAUGAAUUCUGUACUGCUGUGGCAUUCAACAACGAUGUUUAUUAUUAUUAUUAUUAUAAUUAUUAUUAUCAGUCCAGUUAUGGGAAAUGGACAGAUGAAGACUGUGGCAAAACUUUACCAUUCCUCUGUUACAGUACAAUGUCAUCAACAUCCCCUCAUCAGUAUCACUUCAUUAAUGAGAAUAAAACCUGGACAGAAGCACAGAUAUACUGCAGAGAGAAUUACACUGAUCUGGCAACCAUUGAUAACAUGGAGGAAAUGAACACACUUCUUAACACAGUAAAUGGCAGCUACUCAGGUUUAGCCUGGAUUGGACUGUAUGAUGAUCUGGAAAGCUGGAGAUGGUCUCUGGAUAAUGAUACUUUCUACCUGGAGGGAGAGAGU